Molecule: ribosomal RNA, 490 nt
Filed under: uncultured bacterium
Lineage: Bacteria
Description: partial 16S ribosomal RNA
Rfam family: Bacterial small subunit ribosomal RNA
Source: RNAcentral
AGUGAACGCUGGCGGUAGGCCUAACACAUGCAAGUCGAACGGCGGCACAGGAGAGCUUGCUCUCUAGGUGGCGAGUGGCGGACGGGUGAGGAAUACAUCGGAAUCUGCCCAGUCGUGGGGGAUAACGUAGGGAAACUUACGCUAAUACCGCAUACGACCUUCGGGUGAAAGAGGGGGAUCGCAAGACCUCUCGCGAUUGGAUGAGCCGAUGUCGGAUUAGCUAGUUAGCGGGGUAAUGGCCCACCAAGGCGACGAUCCGUAGCUGGUCUGAGAGGAUGAUCAGCCACACUGGAACUGAGACACGGUCCAGACUCCUACGGGAGGCAGCAGUGGGGAAUAUUGGACAAUGGGCGCAAGCCUGAUCCAGCCAUACCGCGUGGGUGAAGAAGGCCUUCGGGUUGUAAAGCCCUUUUGUUGGGAAAGAAAUCUUUCAGGCUAAUACCCUGGGAGGAUGACGGUACCCAAAGAAUAAGCACCGGCUAACUUCGUG